This 2903-nucleotide ribosomal RNA is filed under the name Erwinia pyri. RNAcentral describes it as "Erwinia sp. DE2 23S ribosomal RNA". It matches the Rfam family "Bacterial large subunit ribosomal RNA". The record is from RNAcentral. Lineage: Bacteria; Pseudomonadati; Pseudomonadota; Gammaproteobacteria; Enterobacterales; Erwiniaceae.
GGUUAAGUGACUAAGCGUACACGGUGGAUGCCUAGGCAGUCAGAGGCGAUGAAGGGCGUGCUAAUCUGCGAUAAGCGUCGGUAAGGUGAUAUGAACCGUUAUACCCGACGAUACCCGAAUGGGGAAACCCGGUGCACUCGUGCAUCAUUGCAGCAUGAAUACAUAGUGCUGCAAGGCGAACCUGGGGAACUGAAACAUCUAAGUACCCAGAGGAAAAGAAAUCAACCGAGAUUCCCCCAGUAGCGGCGAGCGAACGGGGAACAGCCCAGAACCUGAAUCAGUUUGUGCAGCAGUGGAAGCGUCUGGAAAGUCGCAGGGUACAGGGUGAUACUCCCGUACACGAAGCUGCACUUACUGUGAGUUCGAUGAGUAGGGCGGGACACGUGACAUCCUGUCUGAAUAUGGGGGGACCAUCCUCCAAGGCUAAAUACUCCUGACUGACCGAUAGUGAACCAGUACCGUGAGGGAAAGGCGAAAAGAACCCCGGCGAGGGGAGUGAAACAGAACCUGAAACCGUGUACGUACAAGCAGUGGGAGCACCUUCGUGGUGUGACUGCGUACCUUUUGUAUAAUGGGUCAGCGACUUAUAUUCUGUAGCAAGGUUAACCGUAUAGGGGAGCCGCAGGGAAACCGAGUCUUAACUGGGCGUUAAGUUGCAGGGUAUAGACCCGAAACCCGGUGAUCUAGCCAUGGGCAGGUUGAAGGUUGGGUAACACUAACUGGAGGACCGAACCGACUAAUGUUGAAAAAUUAGCGGAUGACCUGUGGCUGGGGGUGAAAGGCCAAUCAAACCGGGAGAUAGCUGGUUCUCCCCGAAAGCUAUUUAGGUAGCGCCUCGUGAACUCAUCUCCGGGGGUAGAGCACUGUUUCGGCUAGGGGGCCAUCCCGGCUUACCAACCCGAUGCAAACUGCGAAUACCGGAGAAUGUUAUCACGGGAGACACACGGCGGGUGCUAACGUCCGUCGUGAAGAGGGAAACAACCCAGACCGCCAGCUAAGGUCCCAAAGUCAUGGUUAAGUGGGAAACGAUGUGGGAAGGCACAGACAGCCAGGAUGUUGGCUUAGAAGCAGCCAUCAUUUAAAGAAAGCGUAAUAGCUCACUGGUCGAGUCGGCCUGCGCGGAAGAUGUAACGGGGCUAAACCAUGCACCGAAGCUGCGGCAGCGACACUAUGUGUUGUUGGGUAGGGGAGCGUUCUGUAAGCCGUUGAAGGUGGACUGUGAGGUCUGCUGGAGGUAUCAGAAGUGCGAAUGCUGACAUAAGUAACGAUAAAGCGGGUGAAAAGCCCGCUCGCCGGAAGACCAAGGGUUCCUGUCCAACGUUAAUCGGGGCAGGGUGAGUCGACCCCUAAGGCGAGGCCGAAAGGCGUAGUCGAUGGGAAACAGGUUAAUAUUCCUGUACUCGGUGUUACUGCGAAGGGGGGACGGAGAAGGCUAUGUUGGCCGGGCGACGGUUGUCCCGGUUUAAGCGUGUAGGCUUGCGUUCCAGGCAAAUCCGGAACGCUUUAAGGCUGAGGCGUGAUGACGAGUCACCACGGUGAUGAAGCAACAAAUGCCCUGCUUCCAGGAAAAGCCUCUAAGCAUCAGGUAACACAGAAUCGUACCCCAAACCGACACAGGUGGUCAGGUAGAGAAUACCAAGGCGCUUGAGAGAACUCGGGUGAAGGAACUAGGCAAAAUGGUGCCGUAACUUCGGGAGAAGGCACGCUGGCGCGUAGGUGGAGGGACUUGCUCCCCGAGCUGAAGCCAGUCGAAGAUACCAGCUGGCUGCAACUGUUUAUUAAAAACACAGCACUGUGCAAACACGAAAGUGGACGUAUACGGUGUGACGCCUGCCCGGUGCCGGAAGGUUAAUUGAUGGGGUUAUCCGCAAGGAGAAGCUCUUGAUCGAAGCCCCGGUAAACGGCGGCCGUAACUAUAACGGUCCUAAGGUAGCGAAAUUCCUUGUCGGGUAAGUUCCGACCUGCACGAAUGGCGUAAUGAUGGCCAGGCUGUCUCCACCCGAGACUCAGUGAAAUUGAACUCGCUGUGAAGAUGCAGUGUACCCGCGGCAAGACGGAAAGACCCCGUGAACCUUUACUACAGCUUGACACUGAACAUUGAGCCUUGAUGUGUAGGAUAGGUGGGAGGCUUUGAAGCGCGGACGCCAGUCUGCGUGGAGCCAACCUUGAAAUACCACCCUUUAACGUUUGAUGUUCUAACCUGGCGCCGUGAUCCGGCGUGGGGACAGUGUCUGGUGGGUAGUUUGACUGGGGCGGUCUCCUCCCAAAGAGUAACGGAGGAGCACGAAGGUUAGCUAAUCACGGUCGGACAUCGUGAGGUUAGUGCAAAGGCAUAAGCUAGCUUGACUGCGAGAGUGACGGCUCGAGCAGGUGCGAAAGCAGGUCUUAGUGAUCCGGUGGUUCUGUAUGGAAGGGCCAUCGCUCAACGGAUAAAAGGUACUCCGGGAUAACAGGCUGAUACCGCCCAAGAGUUCAUAUCGACGGCGGUGUUUGGCACCUCGAUGUCGGCUCAUCACAUCCUGGGGCUGAAGUAGGUCCCAAGGGUACGGCUGUUCGCCGUUUAAAGUGGUACGCGAGCUGGGUUUAGAACGUCGUGAGACAGUUCGGUCCCUAUCUGCCGUGGGCGCUGGAAGAUUGAGAGGGGUUGCUCCUAGUACGAGAGGACCGGAGUGAACGCACCACUGGUGUUCGGGUUGUCAUGCCAAUGGCACUGCCCGGUAGCUAAGUGCGGAAAAGAUAAGCGCUGAAAGCAUCUAAGCGCGAAACUUGCCUCGAGAUGAAUCUUCCCUGGGCCUUUAAGGCCCCUGAAGGGACGUUGAAGACUACGACGUUGAUAGGCCGGGUGUGUAAGCGCAGCGAUGCGUUGAGCUAACCGGUACUAAUGACCCGUGAGGCUUAACCUU